GCAUUGGUGGCUCAGUGGUAGAGUUCUUGCUUCUCACGUGGGAAACCCAGUUUCGAUUCCCAGCCAAGGCA
RNAcentral lists this transfer RNA (71 nucleotides) under Loxodonta africana (African savanna elephant). It matches the Rfam family "tRNA". From Rfam's summary of the family: Transfer RNA (tRNA) molecules are approximately 80 nucleotides in length. Their secondary structure includes four short double-helical elements and three loops (D, anti-codon, and T loops). Lineage: Eukaryota; Metazoa; Chordata; Mammalia; Proboscidea; Elephantidae. The record is from Rfam by way of RNAcentral.